UGGGGAAUUUUGGACAAUGGGCGAAAGCCUGAUCCAGCAAUGCCGCGUGUGUGAAGAAGGCCUUCGGGUUGUAAAGCACUUUUGUCCGGAAAGAAAUCCUUGGCUCUAAUACAGUCGGGGGAUGACGGUACCGGAAGAAUAAGCACCGGCUAACUACGUGCCAGCAGCCGCGGUAAUACGUAGGGUGCAAGCGUUAAUCGGAAUUACUGGGCGUAAAGCGUGCGCAGGCGGUUUGCUAAGACCGAUGUGAAAUCCCCGGGCUCAACCUGGGAACUGCAUUGGUGACUGGCAGGCUAGAGUAUGGCAGAGGGGGGUAGAAUUCCACGUGUAGCAGUGAAAUGCGUAGAGAUGUGGAGGAAUACCGAUGGCGAAGGCAGCCCCCUGGGCCAAUACUGACGCUCAUGCACGAAAGCGUGGGGAGCAAACAGGAUUAGAUACCCUGGUAGUCCACGCCCUAAAACGAUGUCAACUAGUUGUUGGGGGAUUCAUUUUCCUUAGUAACGUAGCUAACGCGUGAAGUUGACCGCCUGGGGAGUACGGUCGCAAGAUUAAAACUCAAAGGAAUUGACGGGGUCAUAGCUGUUUCCU
This 588-nucleotide ribosomal RNA is filed under the name uncultured bacterium. RNAcentral's name for it is "partial 16S ribosomal RNA". It matches the Rfam family "Bacterial small subunit ribosomal RNA", at positions 355 to 1375 of the family's 1533-position model. The record is from RNAcentral.